GCAGCCGCCGCCAUAGCGCGAGCGUUGUCUUGUUUUUGAGCAGUAGCAGCGCGGCGGGUCCAGAGAAACUGCUUUCUUCCACAUUUAACGAUAAAACCUGACAAAUGUGAGUUCACCGAAACUCUCCGCGCUCAUGUUUGUUACCGAGAGCACCGUGAACGCGGAGGAGGAGCUUCCGGUCGUUUGUUUCGUUGUAAAACGUCUGGAACGUUUCAGGCUUUUAAAUGGUUUUAUUAACGGCAGCAUCUUCAGUUUAACAGACACUCCCGAGGCUCCUCUGACUUCAGAAAAACACAAUGCUGUUGGUCUUCUUCUUCAGGUGUUGCCUGUUUGGAGGCUUGCAAUCCCUCUGCCUGCAGUGCUGAUGAUCACUGUGAGCCUGUACAUGAUCCUCCUAGGGAUUGGGCUCUGGAUCCGAUACUGCCUCAAGGACUACUGUUCUUUAGAGUGCAGUGAAUGCUGUGCAGGCCUCUCUGUGUGCGAGCAGUGCAUCAGACUGGGUGAAAUGUGCGACUGCCGGCUGCCGGCUGUGGGACCGUUCCUGGCUGAAUCGUGCUCUCCGGCUUCUUGCUCCAGGUGGGACUGUGCCUGUACCUGCCAGGUUCCUGACUGUGACACCUGCAACUGUUUAUGCUUCGAGAUCAGGAUGAAGUAGGAGACGAGGAUGGAAGUGCUCAUCCACCGAACUAAUUUUAUACUUGUUAUAGCAUUUACAGCGGAGAUGGAGGUGGCUGCACACAGAACCGGCCUUACACCUUCUCUUCUGAGUCAUUCACUGACUUUUUCUCUUUGACUCUUUGAGACUGAACAUUUUUCUUUCAUUGCCAGAGAAUAGGUUGCCUUGCCGCUGAUAGGCUAACCGGUAGCUGUGUGCUGAUAUAUUUCUUCUGUAAAUGUGGCUCAAUAAUCACUAUGGUUGGCUGGCCUUUUCUACAACAUCACACUGCUGCUCUAUACACUAAUUUCCGCUAAUUUAAGAGACUACCCACCACCACUAUCACAUAUCCUCUAGGUUUACUAUAAUUACUGCCUUUGGACCAUCUGUGUGUUCAUCUGAGUAGCUGCAUCGAUCUUACUCGGAUCACACGGAGCUGACUGAAUGGGCAGGUUUUCGCUUCCUUCCUGAUCAGGGUCCGCCCUUGGUGGAUUGUGAUAAUGUCGACUGUAGGUCUCUAAAACGGUGCCAUUAUCCCCCAGCAGCGGGUCUUGGAUUAAAAGCAUCAACGCCAAAAGAGACCUUGUGCCUUUUGAAAUGGCCUGAGGUCACGCCGAGCUGAUGUCUGUUUUGCUGAAAGUACCUUCAGUACCUUGUUUUUAAUGAAUGCUUUAUUAAACCCGCAUUUACACCACAGAAGCUUCUUCUUGUUUUAUCUCCUCCCACUAAAACCUGCAUCCUCAGGAGGUAGCUGCAAAGUUACAGCUGAGUUUGCACACAGUGCCAUAUGUACAUGAGCAUGUUCAGGGAUUGUACUCCUGUUUAUGUUUCCAGGACAGUACUGCAAACAGGAAGGAUUUCCAC
Oreochromis aureus is the source of this 1519-nucleotide long non-coding RNA. NCBI's taxonomy places the organism in Eukaryota, Metazoa, Chordata, Actinopteri, Cichliformes, Cichlidae. The record is from Ensembl.